CCCUUAGAUGUUCUGGGCGGCCCGCGCACUACAAUGGCGCUUUCAGCGAGUUCCUAUGUUGAAUUUUCCUGGGUAUUCUUGGAAGCGGCGUCUUGACUUGGGAUAGAUCCUUGUAAUUGUUGGUUUUGAACGAGGAAUUCCUUGUAAUCGCGGUUGAUCAGCUCGCGUUGAAUACGUCCCUGCCCUUUGUACACACCGCCCGUCGCUCCCACCGAUGAAUCGUCCGGUGAAGUUCACAGAGUGGCGGUUCGUGGAGUUGCUCGCGAAGUGAAAUGGACCUCACGAUUUAGAGGAAGGAGAAGUCGUAACA
Molecule: ribosomal RNA, 310 nt
Filed under: uncultured eukaryote
Lineage: Eukaryota
Description: partial 18S ribosomal RNA
Rfam family: Eukaryotic small subunit ribosomal RNA
Source: RNAcentral